GCCCGUGUGGUGAUUUCACGCCAAACUGCAAAUUUGGAGACGCACCUUGAUUGGUUGCCGGGGCUUC
RNAcentral lists this transfer RNA (67 nucleotides) under Hemiphyllodactylus sp. 4 PLW-2014. RNAcentral's name for it is "tRNA-Cys". Lineage: Eukaryota; Metazoa; Chordata; Lepidosauria; Squamata; Gekkonidae. The record is from RNAcentral.